AAGCUGGGUCGAUGGGUUAAAUGGUCGAUGGGUCGAUCUUAUUGGUAAGGAUGUAGACCGGAUGGAAAGAUGGUGAAGAUGGCCGACUUGCUGUUCCUUUUAAUCCAAUCUAACCUGGAAAAAAAUGAAGAACAAUGAUUUUAUGAAUAAUUAAAAAUAAGAACAGAAACUGAAAAGAUAAAGGGAUGGAAUGAUUAAUGAGUAGUUGUUUGAAGAUGGAUGAUGGAAGGAUGAUGUUGGAUAGAUAAUGAUUGACUCUCUCAAUCUGUGGGUAUUGAUUGACUCUCUCAAUCUGUGUCUCAAGGCUCCUGAAUCUCUCAAUGAACCUAUGAACCAUGAUCUCUAGAGUCUCCUAAUGGAUCUCACACUUAGAAACUAAAGAACAACUCAAAGAACACUCAGUAACUGAAAAUACAUAUGUAUGCUUUUUUAAUUGAUUGAAAGGUGAAUCUAAAAUGUAAAAAAUGGUAUGCUUAUACAGGGCAAGACCUUAGACAUAGAUCAAAAGGUCAUAUGAAAAUAAUGGAAACAAAAAUAAACAAAAGGCUGUAAUGGUGCUGAUCAUGAUCGAAAUAUAGCCGUUGGAGAGAUAUCUUUGGAAUUU
This 604-nucleotide long non-coding RNA is filed under the name Brassica napus (rape). Its description in RNAcentral is "long non-coding RNA (BNAP_LNC018452)". The record is from RNAcentral. Lineage: Eukaryota; Viridiplantae; Streptophyta; Magnoliopsida; Brassicales; Brassicaceae.